Oncorhynchus masou masou (cherry salmon) is the source of this 2436-nucleotide long non-coding RNA. RefSeq lists it as uncharacterized. NCBI's taxonomy places the organism in Eukaryota, Metazoa, Chordata, Actinopteri, Salmoniformes, Salmonidae. The transcript is spliced from 3 exons. The record is from RefSeq and is a predicted model, not a curated record.
UUCAUGAUAGCAGCUGACGAGGAUCAACAGAAGAGCCUAUCGCCUGCUUGCCAGCACAAUAUGAGAACACCGGUCACGUCCCCUUUCGAAGAGAACAUACAGGAAGAAGACAGACCAAUGGAAGCUGUGUCUCGGGGGUGAUACAGCAUCCCCUGAAGGCAAUAGACCUUAAAGGGGCGUGCCAGGGUGUUCAGCAUUCCACCAAGAACCCUAUGGCACCACAGAGGAAAGGAGAUGAAAAACCCAGGCUUCAGCCAAAUGGGUGGGGCGUCAGUCUUCUCUUUCGCGUCUGAAAGUGACCUCGUCAAUCGCAUCAUGGGACGUGAGAAGACUCGCCUUUGAUCUGACAGAGAGGAUGGGAAUCAAGCACAGGUUCAUCAAAGGAAAGGGGUAUGCAUGGGUGGAUUGGUUCAGUUGCUUAAUGAAGCGCAACCCUCAACUGUCAGUUUGAGUAUCGCAAGCAACCAGUCUUGCGAGGGCCGUGGGCUUUAAUAAGCUUAAGGUUGACCAGUUUUUUUUUUACGGCCUACAAGGACGUUUUAAACAGCAUCAGGGACAUCGGGAAAACAAAGAUUUGGAACAUGGACAAAAGUCCAGAAACUGUUGCCUGUGGUGGCCACCAAGGGAAUGAAACAUGUUGCAUGGUUGACCAGCGCAGAGUGGCUUCACAGUCACAGUAAUUUGUGCUAUCAGUGUAGCGAGGCAGUACGUACUGCCCCUCUUCAUCUUCCCUUGGAAGAGGAUGAACGAACAGCUGCUGGUUGGAGCACCUGCACGGUCCGUUGGAAGGGUGAGUGACUCAGGCUGAGUCGACAGUACCAUCUUUGUCGACUGGCUCCACAACUUCAUCCACUGUGUUGGUUGCACUCCUGAGGAACCCCACAUCUUCAUCCUCGAUGGGCACCACUCCCAUAAGACCCUGGAGGCUGUUCUGACAGCAAGAGGCCAGGGUCUGAUUCUCAUCACUCUGCCACCCCACUGCAGCCACAAAAUGCAGCCGUUAGACCGUACCGUUUUCAAAGGUCUGAUGGCCUUUUACAACAGGGCAGCAGAUCAGUGGAUGACGAUGCGUCCUGGGAAAAGGAUAUGUAUAUACCAAAUGGCUAGACAAGGUGGCCAGUGUGGAGAGAGGAGUGGAGGGCUUCUGGGCCAGUGGGCUGUGGCCUUUGGAGAAGGACCUCUUCACAGAGGCAGACUUCAUGGUCACUGAGGUUAUAGAGGAGCCUGAGCCCAUUGCCAGUAAGAUAAAGUUAUCUAAAUUAACGAAAAGUAGCAGAAGAAGUAUCUACUUGGUAGAAAGUGUUUAUUAUACUUACACCAAUGUAUUGUUAUGGUCAUUUAUUUUCAAUGCAAAGAAUCCAUUCAACCACAGUGCUCUACCGCUGCCACCGAUGCAGCUACCAGCUCUACCACCGCCACCUCUACCGCCACCAUCACUAGCUCUACCUACACCGCCACCAGCUCUAACACCCAAACCUCUACCUCCACCACAUAUACCUCCGCCACAACCUCCACCGUGCAGCCUACCCUUGCUCCAAAUGUUGCUGCAGCAGUUCUAUUGGAGUUGUGGCCGAGGCUCCAGGAGGCGAGGCAGAGGAAGAGGAAGGCAGAGUCUGCAGCUGUACUGACAGCCUCACCUUACAAAAGGUUGCUGGAGGAAAAUGCUCGACAGAAACAUCAACAAGAAGAAAAGAGAGAGGAGUAAGAAAACAAAUCAGGUUCUUCAAAGAAGGUUGGUGCAACACAACAAGCCACAUCAGCCACCAAAGAAGGGGGUGCGGAGGGUCUUUUCUGUGAGGUGCUGGUUCAGUGCCAGAUGGGGACUGGAUUAGGUGUGAGCACUGCAGGAGGUGGGCUCAUGGUUUGUGCAAUAGCAGAGCAAAAGAGAUGCAACAUCAAUGUUACACUGAAUUAGUUAACUUAUGAUUUAUUGUUAUUAAAUGCUAUAUUCCAAUUUUAUUUCAUGUUAUUAGUUAUAUUCCAUUCCAAUAUUAUAUUCCAAGUAAUAUAUUUAUUUUUAAUGAAUUUUAAAAAAGCUAUUGAAAACCUUUUGCUCCUGAAUGUCAAUUUAAAGACUGCAGGGAUUUAAAAUCUUGCAUUAUUCCAAUACUAGUUUGUGAAAUUGUACAUAAUGGAUUGUAAGGAAAAGAAGCAACAAUGAAAGAACAAAGAAAAUGAAUGUGCAGGUGAGUUAAAAAGAGGGACUUUACAUCAAAUCUCCUCAUAGUGCAGAUAUUAAUAGUGACAUGUGCAACACAAUUCACACCAAUAUUGUUUUUUAAUCAUUAAAAUAAGACAGCUGGAUUUAGCUUUUAAGUAUUACUUACUAAAUAAACUGAUUAAAUGGAUUUUAACACACUUGUGUGAAACUAUGCCAUAAUCUUACCCCGGUACUUAAAAUACACCCCUAUCUAAAAACAACAUUUCAUGAAAUAA